RNAcentral lists this ribosomal RNA (897 nucleotides) under Weissella confusa. RNAcentral describes it as "bacterial SSU rRNA". It matches the Rfam family "Bacterial small subunit ribosomal RNA", at positions 28 to 878 of the family's 1533-position model. The record is from RNAcentral. Lineage: Bacteria; Bacillati; Bacillota; Bacilli; Lactobacillales; Lactobacillaceae.
GAUGAACGCUGGCGGCGUGCCUAAUACAUGCAAGUCGAACGCUUUGUGGUUCAACUGAUUUGAAGAGCUUGCUCAGAUAUGACGAUGGACAUUGCAAAGAGUGGCGAACGGGUGAGUAACACGUGGGAAACCUACCUCUUAGCAGGGGAUAACAUUUGGAAACAGAUGCUAAUACCGUAUAACAAUGACAACCGCAUGGUUGUUAUUUAAAAGAUGGUUCUGCUAUCACUAAGAGAUGGUCCCGCGGUGCAUUAGCUAGUUGGUAAGGUAAUGGCUUACCAAGGCGAUGAUGCAUAGCCGAGUUGAGAGACUGAUCGGCCACAAUGGGACUGAGACACGGCCCAUACUCCUACGGGAGGCAGCAGUAGGGAAUCUUCCACAAUGGGCGAAAGCCUGAUGGAGCAACGCCGCGUGUGUGAUGAAGGGUUUCGGCUCGUAAAACACUGUUGUAAGAGAAGAAUGACAUUGAGAGUAACUGUUCAAUGUGUGACGGUAUCUUACCAGAAAGGAACGGCUAAAUACGUGCCAGCAGCCGCGGUAAUACGUAUGUUCCAAGCGUUAUCCGGAUUUAUUGGGCGUAAAGCGAGCGCAGACGGUUAUUUAAGUCUGAAGUGAAAGCCCUCAGCUCAACUGAGGAAUUGCUUUGGAAACUGGAUGACUUGAGUGCAGUAGAGGAAAGUGGAACUCCAUGUGUAGCGGUGAAAUGCGUAGAUAUAUGGAAGAACACCAGUGGCGAAGGCGGCUUUCUGGACUGUAACUGACGUUGAGGCUCGAAAGUGUGGGUAGCAAACAGGAUUAGAUACCCUGGUAGUCCACACCGUAAACGAUGAGUGCUAGGUGUUUGAGGGUUUCCGCCCUUAAGUGCCGCAGCUAACGCAUUAAGCACUCCGCCUGGGG